This 433-nucleotide unclassified non-coding RNA is filed under the name soil metagenome. RNAcentral describes it as "partial contains 5.8S ribosomal RNA, internal transcribed spacer 2, and large subunit ribosomal RNA". The stretch from base 1 to 120 matches the Rfam family "5.8S ribosomal RNA", at positions 35 to 154 of the family's 154-position model. The record is from RNAcentral.
GAUGAAGAAUGUAGCGAAAUGCGAUACGUAAUGUGAAUUGCAGAAUUCAGUGAAUCAUCGAAUCUUUGAACGCAUAUUGCGCUCUCUGGUAUUCCGGAGAGCAUGCUUGUUUGAGUAUCAGUAAACACCUCAACUUCCAUAUCUUUUUUGAAAUGGGAGUUGGACUUGAGUGAUCCCAACGCUUUUCCUCACCGAAAAGUGGCGGGUUACUUGAAAUGCAGGUGCAGCUGGACUUUUCUCUGAGCUAUAAGCAUAUCUAUUUAGUAUGCCUAAAAAACAGAUUAUUACCUUUGCUGCAGCUAACAUAAAGGAGAUUAGUUCUUGUGCUGACUGAUGCAGGAUUCACAAAGACAGGCUUCGGCCGACUUUGUAAACUCGAUCUCAAAUCAAGUAAGACUACCCGCUGAACUUAAGCAUAUCAAUAAGCGGAGGA